GGCCAGUGCUGAGCCCAACCCAGCCUGUCCAGGGUCAUUCGCAAAGAAGCAGGACGAGGGAAGAGAUUAUUCCUGGCUCCUCUUGGAAAUGAUCCCAGAGUGUCAGUGACUGCUGGGUGCCACAGCUGGCUGCAGGUGGGUUUUUAACAGCCCUGCAAGCACAUGUGUUUGUGGCUAUGCCUUGGGCAGGGACUGCUGCAGGAACUCUCUCAGGAGGUUUCAAGAAGUGGAUUCACUUUCGAGUCCCCAAGCUCCACCUGGGCGCUCUGUGUGAUGUGUGCCUCUGAAAGGAGCAACCCAAACUUUCCUGAAUACCAUGUCCAUGCCAGAUGACCAGUUCUCUUAGCCACAGACAUCUUUCUGUGAAACAAUACUGAAGUGAAUGCUUCUGAAGACUCCAUCCAUGUGUUAAGCCUGAUGAUAGAGGCCUCAGUGCUGACAUCGGAUUUCAGAUGCUGGAAAGACAGAGUUUUUCUCACUUGUACUUCCCAAGACCACUUGAACUUUUGUCUAAUACUGCUGAUAGACUUCAAAGGCAAUUUAAGCAAUCUGUGAAGCAGCAAGAGAUGCCACUGGAUUCCCUUACUGCCUCUCUUUCAGAAAGAACCGGGAAUAAAUAGGCCUUAGCCUGUCAUACUGGUGUGAAAUAAUACUUCUUUUUAAGUGCAAAUGUUUUUGUUUCCUGUUGAUAUGAUAGUCAUGACAAGGAUCAAUCCAAAAGAGUAUUUCCUCUCUCCAAAGGAAAUUUUCAUCCUAACAUAUGAAAGCAUGAGCUUUAUUUUCAUGGCUAAAAUUUCUUGAGUUGUUUCUGGAUUAAUUUCCCACAAAUCAAGAAAAUGGUUUUCGUCUCAAAUCAUUCCUUGGCCUACAUGUUGUGUGAAGCACAAGGGACAAAGGUGUUUUUCUAAGACGAAAAUAAUCAGAUUUAAAAUAAUUAAUUUUCAAAUUUUAGUAGCACUCCAGUUGAAGCCACCAGUUGAUUUCAUAGCAGUUGUUGGGUGAUAGCUUGGAAAAGAACAAAUUAAACUGGUGGCAUAAAUAGAAAGUUUCAUCUCCCAUUGAUAUAUAGCCUUCAUAGUGCUGAUCUGCUUUACUGAUAAUGAGGGUAAUCUAUACAUUAAUGUUUUUUGACUCUUAAUGAUUCACGCUAAAUGUGCAUUGAGAGGUACUGGUAGGUUCCACUUUUAUAGGUGUCUAGGAAUUAACAGUGAGUUUUGUGUCCCAUUCCCCCUCUCUACAAUGGGGAUGUUUCCAUGUAAAGAAACUCCAGAUUUUGACUUCAGAAAGAGCUCCUGCUUCAGACCACAGCAGUAAGCUGACAGCCUUGGCUGGGGUCAGGUUCAUUCAGGAGAUUCCUGCCAGGUACACUUCAACAGUGUCAAAAAAAAAGGUGGGAGGAAAAGAGUAUUUAAGAAUAUAUUCUGGUGGACCACUGGCACUUAUCAUGAUAAAUAAUUUUCCCAUUGGUUGCUAACAAUUUGAUAACUAUAUUAAAUAAGUGCAAAUAUAGAAAGAUUAAACCAUUUAGACACAUUUACUUAUCAUUGAAAGGCAUUGUUUUUACUAAUUGUAGUUUUCCUGUAUGCUGGCCUCAUAUUCCUUAGUAGCAAAAUUAAUGUUUGCAUUGUCAUGCAUCCAUCAAAGAGAUUCAUACUGCAAUCAGGAAUUAAUUUUUCUCUUUAGGUAUUGAAGAGAAGGAAGUGAGAGUGUGUGCAAGAGCCAAAUUCAACACUAGACCUGAAUUCUAACUCUUGGUAUUUAGAAGAGCAAACAAUAAAACACUCAAAUUGUUCCAAACACACAAUGUGAAUUUACCUCCGAACUCUUCAAAAUGCAAUAUAAUUGUAUUGAAUUUGAGCUGGAUUGUAUAAUGAAUUAUCAUUUAUUUGAACAAUGUGAAGGGGUAAACCCGAGGAAAAUAAAACCCCCUACAUUCAUUUCUUUACUGGAGCAUCUUUUGGCUUCUUAGGUCCUUUUGUCCAGACCUCCUUGCUUUGUGAGCCCCAGAGAGUAUCUUAGUGUUAAGGGUCAUCUUGCCUGUUCAGCUCUCACUGGUGUCACUGGUAAGCAGCCUUUUGGCAUCCUCCUUCUGCCUGGGCUCCUGCUGGGUACCCCAUGGCCUUCCUCUAGCAGCAAUCCUUCGGUUCUUUAUUUAACUCCU
Passer domesticus (house sparrow) is the source of this 2161-nucleotide long non-coding RNA. RefSeq lists it as uncharacterized. NCBI's taxonomy places the organism in Eukaryota, Metazoa, Chordata, Aves, Passeriformes, Passeridae. The record is from RefSeq and is a predicted model, not a curated record. The transcript has 3 exons.